This 336-nucleotide ribosomal RNA is filed under the name Enterococcus durans. Its description in RNAcentral is "bacterial SSU rRNA". It matches the Rfam family "Bacterial small subunit ribosomal RNA", at positions 483 to 817 of the family's 1533-position model. Lineage: Bacteria; Bacillati; Bacillota; Bacilli; Lactobacillales; Enterococcaceae. The record is from RNAcentral.
CCAGAAAGCCACGGCUAACUACGUGCCAGCAGCCGCGGUAAUACGUAGGUGGCAAGCGUUGUCCGGGAUUUAUUGGGCGUAAAGCGAGCGCAGGCGGUUUCUUAAGUCUGAUGUGAAAGCCCCCGGCUCAACCGGGGAGGGUCAUUGGAAACUGGGAGACUUGAGUGCAGAAGAGGAGAGUGGAAUUCCAUGUGUAGCGGUGAAAUGCGUAGAUAUAUGGAGGAACACCAGUGGCGAAGGCGGCUCUCUGGUCUGUAACUGACGCUGAGGCUCGAAAGCGUGGGGAGCAAACAGGAUUAGAUACCCUGGUAGUCCACGCCGUAAACGAUGAGUGCU